UACGUAGGGUGCGAGCGUUACUCGGAAUUACUGGGCGUAAAGCGUGCGCAGGCGGUUCGUUGUGUCUGAUGUGAAAGCCCCGGGCUUAACCUGGGAAUGGCAUUGGAAACUGGCGAGCUGGAGUAUGGCAGAGGGGGGUGGAAUUCCGCGUGUAGCAGUGAAAUGCGUAGAGAUGCGGAGGAACACCGAUGGCGAAGGCAGCCCCCUGGGCCAAUACUGACGCUCAGGCACGAAAGCGUGGGGAGCAAACAGG
This 253-nucleotide ribosomal RNA is filed under the name uncultured bacterium. Its description in RNAcentral is "partial 16S ribosomal RNA". It matches the Rfam family "Bacterial small subunit ribosomal RNA", at positions 524 to 776 of the family's 1533-position model. The record is from RNAcentral.